AUACGGAAGGUCCGGGCGUUGUCCGGAUUUAUUGGGUUUAAAGGGAGCGCAGGCGGAGAUGCAAGCGUGACGUCAAAUUUCGGGGCUCAACCCCGUCUCGCGUCGCGAACUGCGUCCCUUGGUUGCGGGAAGGGGAGGCGGAACUCGUGGUGUAGCGGUGAAACGCGUAGAUAUCACGGAGAACUCCGAUCGCGAAGGCUGACGUCCUGCCCGUCAACGAGGCUCAUUCGCGAAGGUGCGUGAAGCCAACGGGUUGAGAAACCCUUGUAGUGCGCACGUGAAAGGAUUGCCCCUCGCGGUGGGGCCUAUAUGGGUGAGCCGACUAGCGAAAGCAAUAAGUGUCCACCCUGGGGAGUGAGCGUGCAACGGGGAAACUCACAGAUGUGGACGUGG
RNAcentral lists this ribosomal RNA (393 nucleotides) under uncultured bacterium. Its description in RNAcentral is "partial 16S ribosomal RNA". It matches the Rfam family "Bacterial small subunit ribosomal RNA", at positions 523 to 918 of the family's 1533-position model. The record is from RNAcentral.